AGAGUUUGAUCCUGGCUCAGAUUGAACGCUGAUGCUUUACACUGCAAGUCGAACGGUAACAGGUUAAGCUGACGAGUGGCGAACGGGUGAGUAAUGCAUCGGAACGUGCCCGGUCGUGGGGGAUAACGCAGCGAAAGCUGCGCUAAUACCGCAUACGAUCUGAGGAUGAAAGCGGGGGACCAAGGCCUCGCGCGAUCGGAGCGGCCGAUGUCAGAUUAGGUAGUUGGUGGGGUAAAGGCUCACCAAGCCGACGAUCUGUAGCUGGUCUGAGAGGACGACCAGCCACACUGGGACUGCUCACCAAGCCGACGAUCUGUAGCUGGUCUGAGAGGACGACCAGCCACACUGGGACUGCUCACCAAGCCGACGAUCUGUAGCUGGUCUGAGAGGACGACCAGCCACACUGGGACUGAACACGGCCCAGACUCCUACGGGAGGCAGCAGUGGGGAAUUUUGGACAAUGGGCGCAAGCCUGAUCCAGCAAUGCCGCGUGCAGGAAGAAGGCCUUCGGGUUGUAAACUGCUUUUGUACGGAGCGAAAAGGUCUUCCCUAAUACGGGAGGCUGAUGACGGUACCGUAAGAAUAAGCACCGGCUAACUACGUGCCAGCAGCCGCGGUAAUACGUAGGGUGCGAGCGUUAAUCGGAAUUACUGGGCGUAAAGCGUGCGCAGGCGGUUUUGUAAGACAGGCGUGAAAUCCACGGGCUCAACCUGGGAAUGGCGCUUGUGACUGCAAAGCUGGAGUGCGGCAGAGGGGGAUGGAAUUCCGCGUGUAGCAGUGAAAUGCGUAGAUAUGCGGAGGAACACCGAUGGCGAAGGCAAUCCCCUGGGCCUGCACUGACGCUCAUGCACGAAAGCGUGGGGAGCAAACAGGAUUAGAUACCCUGUAGUCCACGCCCUAAACGAUGUCAACUGGUUGUUGGGUCUUUACUGACUCAGUAACGAAGCUAACGCGUGAAGUUGACCGCCUGGGGAGUACGGCCGCAAGGUGAAACUCAAAGGAAUUGACGGGGACCCGCACAAGCGGUGGAUGAUGUGGUUUAUUCGAUGCAACGCGAAA
This 1059-nucleotide ribosomal RNA is filed under the name uncultured beta proteobacterium. RNAcentral describes it as "bacterial SSU rRNA". It matches the Rfam family "Bacterial small subunit ribosomal RNA", at positions 8 to 966 of the family's 1533-position model. The record is from RNAcentral. Lineage: Bacteria; Pseudomonadati; Pseudomonadota; Betaproteobacteria.